This is a long non-coding RNA of Cornus florida, 512 nucleotides long. RefSeq lists it as uncharacterized. The transcript has 2 exons. Lineage: Eukaryota; Viridiplantae; Streptophyta; Magnoliopsida; Cornales; Cornaceae. The record is from RefSeq and is a predicted model, not a curated record.
UGUUCACGUGGGCUGUUUUAUUGGUUGGAUUCAGAUGAAUGAAAGGAAUUAAAAGAGAUAAAUGAUGUGAGACAGCCAAAGUGAUUGGGUGGCGGGUCCAUUGUCCUUUGAUUUGUUUUUUUGUCGGCUGAUAUUUAUUGUGUCGGUGCAGUUUUUUUUCUUUAUAUAUGUAUCUGCUUUGUAAUUUGAUGAGAAUGAUUCAGAGGAGAGAAAAAAUUGAGGAAAAAUAAUACAGAGAGAGUUUUGAGGAUAGAGAUGCCGAGAGAAGGCAGAGAGGGCUGAAAGCUUGAUGUUCCACUGAUAAAUUAUUUUACAAAUUUCAAGUACCGAGGAUGCUUGAGGAUUUUUAGCUGCGGGCUUAGGUGGAAGAGUUGGUGUUGAGGAAUUAAUUUAUUUAUUUUGAGAGAUGUUGUAUUCAUUUUUGAGGAAUUGAUUCUGUAUCAAUAAAAUGGUAUUUUUUUUUUAAGAUCCUGGGUGUAAAUUGAAGUAUUUUGAUUUGAAUAAAUCGACGA